Molecule: small nucleolar RNA, 100 nt
Filed under: Echinops telfairi (small Madagascar hedgehog)
Lineage: Eukaryota; Metazoa; Chordata; Mammalia; Afrosoricida; Tenrecidae
Description: Small nucleolar RNA SNORA26 (ENSETEG00000026567.1)
Rfam family: Small nucleolar RNA SNORA26
About the family: The snoRNA HBI-6 belong to the H/ACA family of snoRNAs, guiding the pseudouridylation of position U4522 if the 28S rRNA. HBI-6 is the human orthologue of mouse MBI-6 snoRNA.
Source: RNAcentral
AAACCCUCUGGCGCAACACAGAAGGGUAAAGCGAGGCUCCAUAAAGCCCAGAGACGAGGCCGGUAGAACUCCUCUUUGGAUCCUGUCUGGAGUCACAACU